This 982-nucleotide ribosomal RNA is filed under the name Pediococcus pentosaceus. RNAcentral's name for it is "bacterial SSU rRNA". It matches the Rfam family "Bacterial small subunit ribosomal RNA", at positions 88 to 1057 of the family's 1533-position model. The record is from RNAcentral. Lineage: Bacteria; Bacillati; Bacillota; Bacilli; Lactobacillales; Lactobacillaceae.
GGAGUGAGUGGCGAACGGGUGAGUAACACGUGGGUAACCUGCCCAGAAGUAGGGGAUAACACCUGGAAACAGAUGCUAAUACCGUAUAACAGAGAAAACCGCAUGGUUUUCUUUUAAAAGAUGGCUCUGCUAUCACUUCUGGAUGGACCCGCGGCGUAUUAGCUAGUUGGUGAGGUAAAGGCUCACCAAGGCAGUGAUACGUAGCCGACCUGAGAGGGUAAUCGGCCACAUUGGGACUGAGACACGGCCCAGACUCCUACGGGAGGCAGCAGUAGGGAAUCUUCCACAAUGGACGCAAGUCUGAUGGAGCAACGCCGCGUGAGUGAAGAAGGGUUUCGGCUCGUAAAGCUCUGUUGUUAAAGAAGAACGUGGGUAAGAGUAACUGUUUACCCAGUGACGGUAUUUAACCAGAAAGCCACGGCUAACUACGUGCCAGCAGCCGCGGUAAUACGUAGGUGGCAAGCGUUAUCCGGAUUUAUUGGGCGUAAAGCGAGCGCAGGCGGUCUUUUAAGUCUAAUGUGAAAGCCUUCGGCUCAACCGAAGAAGUGCAUUGGAAACUGGGAGACUUGAGUGCAGAAGAGGACAGUGGAACUCCAUGUGUAGCGGUGAAAUGCGUAGAUAUAUGGAAGAACACCAGUGGCGAAGGCGGCUGUCUGGUCUGCAACUGACGCUGAGGCUCGAAAGCAUGGGUAGCGAACAGGAUUAGAUACCCUGGUAGUCCAUGCCGUAAACGAUGAUUACUAAGUGUUGGAGGGUUUCCGCCCUUCAGUGCUGCAGCUAACGCAUUAAGUAAUCCGCCUGGGGAGUACGACCGCAAGGUUGAAACUCAAAAGAAUUGACGGGGGCCCGCACAAGCGGUGGAGCAUGUGGUUUAAUUCGAAGCUACGCGAAGAACCUUACCAGGUCUUGACAUCUUCUGACAGUCUAAGAGAUUAGAGGUUCCCUUCGGGGACAGAAUGACAGGUGGUGCAUGGUGUCGUCA